Molecule: long non-coding RNA, 6335 nt
Filed under: Nicotiana tabacum (common tobacco)
Lineage: Eukaryota; Viridiplantae; Streptophyta; Magnoliopsida; Solanales; Solanaceae
Description: long non-coding RNA (NTAB_LNC013004)
Source: RNAcentral
UUGCUUUUCAAACAUGCCUCCGAACCAACAAUAUCUAGCAAAUUACCAACCAAACAUUUCAAAAUAAGACUUGGGAAUUACCCAUGAUCGAUAAGAAUUUAAUUUAGGACAUUAUUGAAAAAGUCAACAAAAUUCAACAUCUGGGACCGCUUGGUCCAAACCCGAAAUUCACACAAAAACCGAUUACCCAUUCACCCCCGAGCCCAGAUAUACAAUUGGUUUCGGAAUCCGACCUCAAUUUGAGGUCAAAAUUCCCAAAUUUCAAAAUCCCCAGUUUCUACCCAAAAAUCCCCAAUUCCACCAUGAAAACCUUAGAUUCUAGGUUGAAAUCUUGUAAAAUGAAGUGAAAGAUUGAAAGAAACUAGUUAAGAAUCCCUUAUCUAUGAUUUGGGGAAGAAGUGGUCUUUGAAAAAUCUCCUAGAGGGUUUCUUGUUUUGAAAGUUUUGAAAAAUGAGCAAAAAUCCCUCCUAAGUCAAAUUUUACCAGUUGCAGAUGUCGCAAAUGCGAGAAAUCCAUCGCAUUUGUGAAGAUUCUCACAUUCCUGCCAUCUUCGCAAAUGUGAAGAAAAGUUCGCAAAUGCGAACUAAGCCGGCCGCAAAUGCGAUCCAAUGAUCGCAAAUGCGAAAACUGCCUCCCCCUGUCCCAGUUCGCAAAUGCGAAUGCUGGCCUUCCCAACCACUCUUCGCAAAUGUAAUGAGUGGAUCGCAAAUGCGAACCCAACAGUGGUCGCAAAUGCGAUGCUUGACCUCAUAUUUGCGAGGUCUGAGGCCUGCAACAAAAAUCUGAUGCACCAGUAGUGUUCUAAGUCCCAUAUUCACUCCGUAGCCUAUCCGAGACUCACCCGAGCCCUCGAGGCUCCAAAUCAAACAUGCACACAAGUCUAAAAUCAUCAUACGAACUUGCUCGUGCGAUCAAAUCGCUAAAAUAACACUUAAAACCACAAAUUUAGCACCAAAUCAAAUGAAAUUCUCAAGAACACUUUGAAAUUCCUAUUUUCACUACCGGAUGUCUAAAUCAUGUCAAACCAAUCUUGUUUCUCACCAAAUUUUACAGACAUGUCUUAAAUAUUAUAUUGAACUUGUACUGGGCUCCGAAACUAAAAUACGGACCCGAUACAUACAAGAUCAAACAUUAAUAAUUUCUUAAUGACCAUUAAAUUUUCAGACUUUCAAUUUUCAUCAAAAAUUCAUAAAUCGAGCUAGGGAUCUCCGAAUCUGAUUUCGGGCAUACGCUCAAGUCCCAUAUUUCGAUAUAGGCCCAUCGGUAUUGUCAAAAUAUGAAUCCGAGCCCGUUAUAAAAAAUAUUAACCGGAGUCAACUCAAAUAAAGUUUUUAAGCAAAAAUAUUUAUUUUUAUCAACUUUCCACACAAAAGCUUUCCGGAAACACGCCCGAAUUGCGUACGCAAAUCGAGGAGGUGUAAAAUGAGGUUUUUAAAUGCCUCGGAACCUAGAAUUUGGUUUUAAAUUAUAAGAUGACCUACCGGGUCAUCAUAUUCUCCACCUCUAAAACAACCAUUCGUCCUCAAACGGACAUAGAAAAGUACUUGAGCUGGGAAAAAGGUGGGGAUAUCUACUCCGCAAUCGGACUCGGACUCCCAGGUAGUCGCCUCAACAGGAUGACCUCUCCACUUCACUCGAACUGAAGGAUAACUCUUUGAACUCAACUGACGAACUUGCCGGUCUAGAAUAGCUACCGGCUCCUCCUCGUAGGUCAAAUCCUUGUCCAUCUGGAUAGUGCUAAAGUCUAACACGUGGGAUGGGUCGCCGUGAUACUUUCGAAGCAUGGAUACAUGUAAUACUGGAUGUAUCGCUAAUAAACCAGGUGGCAAUGCAAGUUUGUAAGCCACCUCUCCCACUCGCUCAAGAAUCUCAAAAGGCUCGAUGUAUCUCGGGCUCAACUUUCCCUUCUUUCCAGACCUCAUUACACCCUUCAUGGGUGACACACAGAGCAGCACUCUCUCUCUGACCAUUAAUGCAAUAUCAUGGACCUUACGGUUGGUAUAACUCUUUUGCCUGGACUGAGCUGCGCGAAUUCUAUCCUGAAUGAACUUAACCUUAUCCAAGGCAUCUUGUACUAAAUCUGUACCCAAUAAUCGAGCCUCCCCCGGCUCAAACCAUCCUACCAGCGAUCGACACUGUCUACCAUAUAAAGCCUCAUAGGGAGCCAUCUGAAUGUUUGACUGAUAACUAUUGUUGUAGGCAAACUCCACAAGUGGAAAGAACUGAUCCCAAGAGCCUCCGAAGUCAAUAACACACGCGCGGAGCAUAUCCUCCAAUAUCUGAAUAGUGCGCUCGGACUGUCCAUUUAUCUGAGGAUGAAAUGCUGUGCUCAACUCAACUUGCAUGACCAACUCACGCUGUAAUGCCUUCCAGAAAUGCGAGGUGAAUUGCAUAUCUCGAUCAAAAAUGAUAGACACGGGCACGCCAUGAAGACAAAUGAUCUCAGAGAUAUAAAUCUCUGCCAACCGCUCUGAAGAAUAGGUAACUGCCACAGGAAUGAAAUGCGCUGACUUGGUCACUCUAUCCAUAAUGACCCAAGCUACAUUGAACUUCCUCUGAGUCUAUGGGAGUCUAACAACAAAAUUCAUAGUAAUACGCUCCUGCUUCCACUCAGGAAUCUCUAUCUUUUAAAGCAAACCACCGGGUCUCUAAUGUUUAUACUUUACUUGCUGGUAAUUUAGACACCGAGACACAUAUGUAACUAUAUCUUUCUUCAUCCUCCUCUACCAAUAAUACUGUCGCAAGUCCUGAUACAUCUUGGCGGUGUCCGGAUGAAUAGAAUGUUAGGAAAUGUGGGCCUCUUCUAGAAUCAACUCACGAAUUCCAUUCAUAUUAGGCACAUAAACACGACCCUGCAUCCUCAAAGCCCCAUCAUAUUCGAUAGUAACUUGCUUGGCAUCUCCAUGCCGCACUCUGUCCUUAAGGACAAGCAAAUGAGGGUCAUCAUACUGCAGCUCCCUGAUGCACUCAAACAAUAAAGACCGAGCGACCGUACAAGCUAGAACACGACUAGGCUCAUAAACAUCCAACCUCACGAACUGAUUGGCCAAAGCCUGAACAUCUAAUGCAAGCGGUCUCUCACUGACUGGAAUGUAUGCAAGGUUGCCCAUACUAGCUGACUUCCUACUCAAAGUAUCGGCCACCAGAUUGGCCUUCCCGGGAUUAUACAAGAUGGUGAUAUCAUAGUCUUUCAAUAGCUCUAACCACCUCCUCUGCCUCAAAUUGAGCUCCUUUUGCUUGAACAAAUACUGCAAACUAUGAUGAUCCGUGAACACCUCACACGACACACCAUAAAGAUAGUUCCUUCAAAUCUUCAUCGCAUGAACAAUGGAUACCAACUCUAAGUCGUGAACAUGUUAGUUUCCUCAUGAACCUUCAACUGCCGCGAAGCAUAUGCAAUAACCCUGCUACCCUGAAUCAAUGCCGCACUAAGUCCAAUACGAGAUGCAUCAAAAUAUACUAUAUAAGGCCAUGAUCCUGUAGGCAACACCAACACUGGCGCCGUAGUCAAAGCAGUCUUGAGCUUCUGAAAGUUGCUUCACACUCGUCCGACCAUCUGAACGGGGCACCCUUCUGGGUCAACCUAGUCAACGGGGUUGCUAUAGAUAAGAACCCCUCCACAAACCGACGGUAAUAGCCCGCCAAUCCCAAAACACUCCGGAUCUCUGUAGUUGAUGUGGGUCUAGGACAGUUCUUGACUGCCUCAAUCUUCUUAGGAUCCACUUGAAUACCCUAUGCUAAUACAACGUGACCCUAGAAUGCAACUGAACUCAACCAAAACUCGCAUUUUGAAAGCUUAGCAUAUAACUGGCCGUCUCUCAGAGUCUGAAGAAUGAUCCAAAGAUGUUGCUUAUGCUCCUCUCGACUGCGAGAGUAGAUCAAGAUAAACAAUCACAAAGGAAUCCAGAUAGGUCUUGAACACCUGGCUCAUCAAAUCCAUGAAUACUGUUGGGGCAUUUGUCAGCCCAAAUGACAUCACUAGACACUCAUAAUGCACGUACCGAGUCCGAAAAGCUAUCUUAGGGACAUCAGAUUCCCUUAUCCUCAACUGAUGGCAGCCAAACCUCAAAUCGAUCUUCGAAAACACUUUGGCACCCUGAAGCUAAUCAAAUAAGUCAUCAAUCCUUGGUAGUGGCUACUUCUUCUUGAUGGUGACUUUGUUCAACUGCCGAUAAUCUAUGCACAUACUCAUCGAUCCAUCCUUCUUUACAAAUAAUACGGGCGCACCCCAAAGAGAGACACUAGAUCUAAUGAAGCCCUUAUCAAAUAAGUCUUGCAACUGCUCAUUCAAUUCUUUCAACUCUGGCGGGGCCAUGUUGUAUGGCGGAAUAGAAAUGUGCUGAGUGCCCGGAGCCAAAUCAAUACAGAAGUUAAUAUCCUUGUCGGGUGGCAUCCCCAGCAGGUCUGCAGGAAACACCUUUGGAAACUCACAAACAACUGGCAUAAAAUCCAUAAAAGGAACCUCUGCACUAGAAUCACAGACAUAAGCCAAAUAAGAUAAACACCGGUCACACCUCCUUUCUCUACCCGCGGAAGGGGUAUAAGGGAGUUUUUCCAAUUAAAGUGACAAUGAUCGAAACAUGAUUAUUUAUUGAAAGUUCAGAGUCACCACUUGGGAUAAUUUAUGGUGUCCCAAGUCACUGGUUUAAAAUCCCAAAUCGAGAAAAGUUGACUCUUAUUUAUGGUCUGCGAACAUCGAAAUUCGGGUAAGGAAUUCUGUUAACCCGGAAGAAGGGGUUAGGCAUUAUCGGGUUCCGUGGUUUUAGCACGGUCGCUCAACUGUUAAUAUUGGCAUAUUUAUUCGAUUUUAAAAUAUCUUUGAAACCUAUGUGCAUUUCUAUUCCUUGUAAACCACUUUUAAUAAUCCAAUUGUUAUACAACUAAAUAUUUUGAUUACAUAUUGCGAAUCAUGUCACGGGAGCCGUACCCAUGAUCCACAACAUGUUUAUUUUAUUAACAGGAUUAAAUUGUGGCCGGGUCACAUAAAUGUACCCCCAGAUUUUAGAAAUUAAGCAUCACAAUUACGUCACGGGAACCGUACCCGUAGCUAUGACAAUUUAUUUAAUUAACGUGCCUAAAGCAAACUGCGAAAAGUUCAAGGCAUUUCUACACGAAUUAAGAUAUUGAUGUGAGGGCCAUAGACUUGGUGAUUGGAUGGCGCACCUUAAUUUUAUUAAAGGAAAAGCAUUUAACUAAGUGAAAUUCAUAUUUAAAACUAAUUUGAGAUUAAGUAUCACAACCACGCCAUGGGAAUCAUACCCUUAGUUGUGAUGAUUUAAUUACGUGCCUAAAGCAAACUACGACGUUCAUAGGUUGCAAUUGAACAAUGAAAUACUCUUAAGAGCAGGCAUGAUCGAAUUGCCAGGAAUAUGAACUACAAACUACCUAAAAUUGAAACCAAAAGAGAAAACAUAGAAUUAAGAAGAGAGCACUGUGUUUACAGGAAAACGGCAAAUCAAAUUGGCAAUGACCAUGAGAAUGUCAAAAAAAUGGAUCUUAGUUAAACCCAUAUUUUAAGAAUUUUAAAAAUUUCACCUCUUACCUUUCUCUGAAUAAGAGGUGAAACAACAAAUAUCCAAUAAACUGGCAGAGAAUCAGCAAAUUCAAAUGAGCUACAAUUAUGCUUUUAAUUAUUCAUAGCAGUGAACAAAACUAAAUAUACCAAAUACAGUUAAAUAAAGAAACAGACCUCAAAGAGCGAUAAUUUUCCAAUUAAUGGAAUUUCGAGUUUACAUUUCUAUUCAGUCAAGAAGCAAACGAGAAUCUGAUCAAAGAAUUGAGCAGCGAACAAAGACGCCAACAGGGACACGAAUGUGACGGAACCUCGAACAACAAUUCAGAUCACACCAUUAUCAGUUUCUGCUCAAAGUUUCUGCCGAGUUUGGUGUGUAGAAGAAGAUGAAAAUGGCUGUGUGUAUCUAAGUUCAAAGAAGAAGGAAAGGCUGAAAGGUCCUUGGUUGACGAGGUGGAUAAGCAGCCGCUGGUGGUCUUUUCAGCUCGUUUUCUGGCAAGCUGUCAUCUCUUUUAUCUGUGUGCGUCGCUGUUUUAGGUUGAAAAAGAAAUAUCAGAAGUGAGGGGUCGUCUAAGGGCGACGGAUUCUGUUCUUUUCUAGGAUUUGUGUUGGUUGAAAAAAAUGGCUGGAGAUUUCGACUAUGGCUGCUUGUCCUGAUAAAGAUGAAGACACAUGUCUUUUUGGUUUUUCCUUGGUUUUUAGAUCAUGAGAAACGGUUGUUCUGUGUAGUGUUAUUAGCGCUAAGUCUGUGUAGGUUUUCUAAUUCUCAGAAACGGCUCGUAGGUUAAGGUCCUUUUGGCUAGGGUGUUCUUCGAUGGGGGGG